CACGUAGGGCGCAAGCGUUGUCCGGAAUUAUUGGGCGUAAAGAGCUCGUAGGUGGUUUGUUACGUCCGCUGUGAAAUCCUAGGGCUUAACCCUGGGCUUGCAGUGGAUACGGGCAGACUAGAGGUAGGUGGGGGAGAAUGGAAUUCCUGGUGUAGCGGUGAAAUGCGCAGAUAUCAGGAGGAACACCGGUGGCGAAGGCGGGUCUCUGGGCCGAUACUGACGCUGAGGAGCGAAAGCGUGGGGAGCGAACAGG
This 253-nucleotide ribosomal RNA is filed under the name uncultured bacterium. RNAcentral describes it as "partial 16S ribosomal RNA". It matches the Rfam family "Bacterial small subunit ribosomal RNA", at positions 524 to 776 of the family's 1533-position model. The record is from RNAcentral.